CUUUCCGCCAUCCCCAAUCCGCUCUACCCCAAUUGGCGGCGGCGGCGCCAUAUUUGCUCCCAUUCCCCAUGUCCUCCUCUAGUUGAUCCUCUCCGCCUCCGCUCCGACCGCUGCGGCCGUCUCUCCUCCCACUUCCUCUCCGCUUCCCGUCCUAACCCCCCAAACCCUACCCCCUUUUCCCCUCAUGUGGCGCCGUCUCCCUGCCCGCCGCCUCGCCUCCGCCCUCCUCUCCUCCUUCCCGGUCACGAGGGCCGCUGCCCCGCGCGCUCCUCCUCUCGAGCGUCGUCUUCUCCCCGCGACCUCUAGUCUUCUCCCGCCCCCGCGCUUUCCCUCGUGGCAGCAGGACCCGCGUUGGAUCGCCUCGGCCGCCGCAGCUGAGGCGGUGUCCUCGGAGGAGGCCGAGGAGCUGCACCACGCGCUCGAGAUCUUCCGGGUGCAGCCGUACAAGAAUCAACCUCCGCCGGUGGAGGAGCAGCAGGCAUCCGGGAGAGACCACCGUAGUCGGCAUCGGCGGAACAGGCGGGGACAGCAAGCACAAGUGGCGGCGGCGGAGCACGGGAUGACGUACCACAAAUACGCCUCGCUGCGCCGCCGGCAGAUCCGCGUCGAAACGGAGGCGUGGGAGCAGGCCGCAAAGGAAUACCGCGAGCUCCUCGCGGACAUGUGCGAGCAGAAGCUCGCGCCCAACCUUCCCUAUAUCAAGUCGCUCUUCCUGGGCUGGUUUGAGCCGCUGCGGGACCAAAUCACCGCAGAACAGGAGCUCGUAGCGGACCGCGGGUCCAGAGCCUCACAUGGGCCGUACUUCAACAUGCUUCCUGCUGAUAUGAUGGCGGUCAUCACUAUGCACAAGCUCAUGGGACUGCUCAUGACUGGCAGUGGGGACGGGAGUGUUCGAGUCAUCCAGGCGGCAUGUCAGAUUGGCGAGGCUAUCGAGCAUGAGGUUCGAAUCCAAAGAUUUCUAGAGAAGACAAGAAGAAAAAGCAACAGAGAAAAGGAAAGUGAAGAAGAAAUUUGUGACUCAAACAUUGCCAAAGAACAACAGCGUCUAAGAAAGAAAGUCACUGAUCUGAUGAAAAAGCAAAAGUUACGGCAAGUUAGGAAGAUAGUGAAGAAUCAAGAUGAUUCCAGGCCAUGGGGUCAAGAUGCUCAUGCGAAAGUCGGUAGUCGUUUGAUUGAGCUGUUUAUUGAAACAGCCCAUAUACAGCCAGCUGCUAGCCAGUCAUCAGAUGGUCUUCCAGACAUUCGUCCUGCUUUCAGACAUGAAAUGAGAACAGUGCCGAAAGAACAACAGAAGCUUAGUCGCAGAUAUGGUGUCAUCAAGUGUGAUCCACUGGUUCGGCAAGGCCUGGAUAGAACAGCAAAACACAUGGUCAUACCUUACAUGCCUAUGUUGAUUCCCCCAAUCUGUUGGACAGGAUAUGAUAAAGGAGCACACCUGUUUUUACCAUCCUAUGUGAUGCGCACCCAUGGUGCUCGGCAGCAGAGGGAGGCUGUUAAAAGGGCUCCAAAGGAACAGAUGCAAUCAGUUUUUGAGGCCUUGAAUACUCUUGGGAGCACGAAGUGGAGGGUUAACAAAAGAGUUCUUAGUAUUAUUGACAGAAUAUGGUCAAGUGGUGGCCGGCUUGCUGACCUGGUUGAUCGUGCUGAUGUUCCCUUACCUGAGAAGCCUGACACAGAAGAUGAAACUUUGCUAAAGAAGUGGAGGUGGAACAUGAGGUCAGUCAAGAAGGAAAACAGUGAAAGGCAUUCUCAGAGAUGUGAUGUUGAGCUCAAACUUGCUGUUGCUCGAAAAAUGAAGGAUGAAGAGGGAUUUUACUACCCACACAACCUUGAUUUUAGAGGUCGUGCUUAUCCAAUGCAUCCUUACCUGAACCACUUGGGUUCAGAUCUUUGUCGAGGGGUUCUGGAGUUUGCUGAAGGUCGUCCACUUGGUCAGUCAGGCUUGCGUUGGCUGAAGAUACACCUAGCAAAUUUGUAUGCUGGUGGUGUUGAUAAGUUAUCAUAUGACGGCCGGAUUGCAUUUGCUGAGAAUCACUUGGAGGAAAUAUUUGAUUCUGCUGAUAGGCCAUUAGAAGGCAAACGAUGGUGGCUUGGGGCUGAAGAUCCGUUCCAGUGCCUGGCAGUAUGUAUGAAUCUUGCUGAAGCUUUAAGAAGCUCGUCUCCAGAAACAACGAUAUCACAUAUUCCUGUGCACCAGGAUGGUUCUUGUAAUGGCCUGCAGCACUAUGCAGCUCUUGGAAGGGAUAAGUUGGGAGCUAUUGCUGUCAACUUAGUUGCUGGAGAGAAGCCUGCAGAUGUUUACUCCGGAAUAGCUACCAGGGUGGUUGAAAUUAUGAGGAGGGAUUCACAAAAGGAUCCCUCUACAGAUCCUGAUGCAACUCGUGCUCGUUUAAUACUUGAUCAGGUGGAUAGAAAAUUGGUGAAGCAAACUGUGAUGACAUCUGUGUAUGGUGUCACUUAUGUUGGAGCACGUGAACAAAUAAAAAGGAGGCUGAAAGAGAGGGGGGUCAUUGCUGAUGAUGCAGAAUUAUUUGGUGUGUCAUGUUAUGCUGCUAAGGUUACUCUGACAGCACUUGGUGAGAUGUUUCAAGCUGCCCGUAGUAUCAUGAACUGGCUUGGUGACUGUGCCAAGGUAAUCGCUUGUGAAAAUGAACCUGUGAAAUGGACGACCCCUCUUGGGCUUCCCGUUGUUCAACCAUAUCGCAAACUAGGGAGGCAUCUUAUUAAGACGUCAUUACAGGUUCUGACCCUUCAGCGGGAGACUGAUAAGGGAGGGACGGAGGGCUCUCUCUCUCUCUAUCACCUGCUCCCUCCCUCCCCCUCUCGCCAAGCUAUAUUUGAAUCGUCAAUGAUAGUGCAUCAUAGUGGUUUCAUUAUUGAAUUAUGUCUAUUUCCCAUUAUUGUUAUUGAAUUACAUUAUCUCUUGUUUGUGUAAUAUUUUAAUCAAAUACUUAAUGAGUCACUCAAUCAGGUUAUGGUGAAGCGGCAGAGGACAGCUUUCCCUCCAAACUUUGUGCAUUCCCUUGAUGGUUCUCAUAUGAUGAUGACUGCUGUUGCUUGCAAAAGGCAAGGCCUCAAUUUUGCAGGAGUUCAUGAUUCUUAUUGGACCCAUGCUUGUGAUGUUGAUACAAUGAACAAAAUACUCCGGGAGAAGUUUGUGGAACUCUAUGAUACACCUAUUUUGGAAAAUCUGUUGGAGAGUUUCGAGAAAUCUUUCCCUACAUUAAAGUUCCCACCAUUGCCAGAGAGGGGAGACUUUGAUAUGAAGGAUGUCCUAGAGUCUCCUUAUUUUUUCAACUAGCACAUUUAUGAUAGCAUUGCAUGCCCCCACACUCUGCUGCCUAUUCACAGCCUGCACCCAUCCUAAGUUGAGUACAGUGUCACCAACUCAGAUGUUGAAGCUAAAUAUUUUACUGGCUGAAGUGUACCAUCUUCAAGACAUCAUGCAGCACCAUAUCCAAAAGUGUUGCAGAAGUACACAGAGCCUUGAAGUAGUCUAUAACAGAUAUGCUGAGGAGGUUUGCAGUUAUGCUAACAGCAAAGCCAAAUAAAAGUGGAAACCGUUGCCAAGAAGCUCAGCGAGGGGGUUUGGCUCUGUUCGGCACUAGCGUAUUUAUUGAUAACCAGCGCACCCCCCCCCCCCCCCCCCCCAAAAAAAAACACCCCUCUCACUGAUCCCUGAAAAUGUAACUAUACAGUUUUGGCUUUCACCAAUCUGUUUAUUUUUCUUGAUCUUGAACUAUAGAGGGAUAUUCUACUGACGAAAGAUUAUUUCAUAGCUAACUUUGUAGUUGUAAGAUGAUAAUUUAAUAAUAAAAGAAUACACAGUGGUUUCCUCUCCA
Panicum virgatum (switchgrass) is the source of this 3842-nucleotide RNA transcript. It is a transcript of the gene named DNA-directed RNA polymerase 2B, chloroplastic/mitochondrial-like, with no coding region annotated. NCBI's taxonomy places the organism in Eukaryota, Viridiplantae, Streptophyta, Magnoliopsida, Poales, Poaceae. The transcript is spliced from 19 exons. The record is from RefSeq and is a predicted model, not a curated record.